CCUACGGGAGGCAGCAGUGGGGAAUAUUGGGCAAUGGGCGCAAGCCUUACCCAGCAAUACCGCGUGAGUGAAGAAGGUCCUCGGUUUGUAAAGCUCCUUGUUCAGGGGCGUAAAGAUGACGGUACCUGAAGAACAAGCCCUGGCUGACUACGUGCCAGCAGCCGCGGUCAAACGUAGGGGCCGAGUGUUGCCCGGAAUGACUGGGCGUUAAGGGUGCGUUGGGGGUAUAAUAAGAUAGAAGGGAAAUUCCCAGCGCUUAACUCGGGUGCUGCUUCUAAGACUGGUGGGCUUGAGUGCGGGAGAGGUUAAUGGAAUGCGUAGUGUAGCGGUGGAAUGCGUAGAUAUUAGGAGGAACACCAGAGGCGAAGGCGAUUAACUGGACCGGAACUGACGCUGAGGCACGAAAGUGUGGGUAGCGAACAGGAUUAGAUACCCGGGUAGUC
RNAcentral lists this ribosomal RNA (443 nucleotides) under uncultured bacterium. Its description in RNAcentral is "partial 16S ribosomal RNA". It matches the Rfam family "Bacterial small subunit ribosomal RNA", at positions 338 to 795 of the family's 1533-position model. The record is from RNAcentral.